GAUGAACGCUGGCGGCGUGCCUAAUACAUGCAAGUCGAGCGAACAGACGAGGAGAUUGCUCCUCUGACGUUAGCGGCGGACGGGUGAGUAACACGUGGAUAACCUACCUAUAAGACUGGGAUAACUUCGGGAAACCGGAGCUAAUACCGGAUAAUAUAUUGAACCGCAUGGUUCAAUAGUGAAAGACGGUUUUGCUGUCACUUAUAGAUGGAUCCGCGCCGCAUUAGCUAGUUGGUAAGGUAACGGCUUACCAAGGCAACGAUGCGUAGCCGACCUGAGAGGGUGAUCGGCCACACUGGAACUGAGACACGGUCCAGACUCCUACGGGAGGCAGCAGUAGGGAAUCUUCCGCAAUGGGCGAAAGCUUGACGGAGCAACGCCGCGUGAGUGAUGAAGGUCUUCGGAUCGUAAAACUCUGUUAUUAGGGAAGAACAAAUGUGUAAGUAGCUAUGCACGUCUUGACGGUACCUAAUCAGAAAGCCACGGCUAACUACGUG
This 497-nucleotide ribosomal RNA is filed under the name uncultured bacterium. Its description in RNAcentral is "partial 16S ribosomal RNA". It matches the Rfam family "Bacterial small subunit ribosomal RNA", at positions 28 to 507 of the family's 1533-position model. The record is from RNAcentral.